Molecule: ribosomal RNA, 253 nt
Filed under: uncultured bacterium
Lineage: Bacteria
Description: partial 16S ribosomal RNA
Rfam family: Bacterial small subunit ribosomal RNA
Source: RNAcentral
GACGUAGGGCGCGAGCGUUGUCCGGAUUUAUUGGGCGUAAAGAGCUCGUAGGCGGCUUGUUGCGUCGGCUGUGAAAACCCAUGGCUCAACCGUGGGCUUGCAGCCGAUACGGGCAGGCUAGAGUUCGGUAGGGGAGACUGGAAUUCCUGGUGUAGCGGUGAAAUGCGCAGAUAUCAGGAGGAACACCGGUGGCGAAGGCGGGUCUCUGGGCCGAUACUGACGCUGAGACGCGAAAGCGUGGGGAGCGAACAGG